UCGCUGUUCUCAGCUUGUGAUUGGAGCCUGGGGUACAGUGCUUCCAUGCCGACGUGUGAAACGCAGCUUCUGUUUCCUACAUCUCGGCAGGAAGUAGGCGGCAGCGUUUGGAUAUUCUGCGCUAACACGCUGCCCUGGGACAGCCACCCCGCAGGCUCCAGGCUCCAGUCUGCAGCGUGGCCGUGGCCCUGACCCAGAGAGAAGGGAGAUACUUCUACAGAAAGGCGUGUGUGGGGAACCGUCCAUCUUCUCUCCCCCCACAGAAGACUAAACAAAAUGCCUUCCAAGCCAGCAAAGCAAGAGUGGCAUCUUGUUGCAGGUUUAGCCAAGGACAGACUGGAACAGGCCUUCUGCUCUACCAGAGGGCAAGUUCUGCAGGCCCACAGCUCUCUGCCUGCCCGGGAGGAGACCCUGCUGCAGGACCAGAAGCCGCCUGGAACCCAGGGGGGCUGCCCCGCAACCGCUGCCCAGAGAACACGAAGGGGGCACCUGUACCCGCUCUGCGGGGAUCCAGCCCGCUCCCGAGGGACCACUGCUCGCCGGAGCCUGCCUGGCUGGAGCUGCCCGGCCUAAGCCUGCCAGAGCUGAGCACCGGAGCCAAACCGGACCGGAGCCCGCAGCUGCCUCCCGUCCACCUGCCACUCUGCCCCGGGAUUGGAGCCGCAUUCACCUGCUGCUGCUGGGC
Long non-coding RNA from Apus apus (common swift), 685 nucleotides. RefSeq lists it as uncharacterized. The transcript is spliced from 3 exons. The record is from RefSeq and is a predicted model, not a curated record. Lineage: Eukaryota; Metazoa; Chordata; Aves; Apodiformes; Apodidae.